GCGCGAAAACUUUACAAUGCGGGAAACCGUGAUAAGGGAACUCCGAGUGCCCGUAAAAUCGGGCUGUCCAUCAGUUUAAAUAACUGGUGAAGAAAGGGCCGGGCAAGACCGGUGCCAGCCGCCGCGGUAAUACCGGCGGCUCGAGUGGUGGCCACUAUUACUGGGCUUAAAGCGUUCGUAGCUGGUCUGUUAAGUCUCUGGGGAAAUCUGCCGGCUUAACCGGCAGGCGUUUCAGGGAUACUGGCAGACUAGGGACCGGGAGAGGUGAGAGGUACUCCAGGGGUAGGAGUGAAAUCCUGUAAUCCUUGGGGGACCACCUGUGGCGAAGGCGUCUCACCAGAACGGCUCCGACAGUGAGGGACGAAAGCUGGGGGAGCAAACCGGAUUAGAUACCCGGGUAGUCCCAGCUGUAAACGAUGCGCGUUAGGUGUAUCGGUGACCACGAGUCACCGAGGUGCCGAAGAGAAAUCGUGAAACGUGCCGCCUGGGAAGUACGGUCGCAAGGCUGAAACUUAAAGGAAUUGGCGGGGGA
RNAcentral lists this ribosomal RNA (532 nucleotides) under uncultured Methanomicrobiales archaeon. Its description in RNAcentral is "bacterial SSU rRNA". It matches the Rfam family "Archaeal small subunit ribosomal RNA", at positions 339 to 875 of the family's 1478-position model. The record is from RNAcentral. Lineage: Archaea; Methanobacteriati; Methanobacteriota; Methanomicrobia; Methanomicrobiales.